CAAAUUAAAGCUUAUUUUAAAGUAUUUCAUUUACAUUGAAAAGAUUUUGUUAAAUUCAAAUAAUUUGA
RNAcentral lists this transfer RNA (68 nucleotides) under Napialus hunanensis. RNAcentral describes it as "tRNA-Val". It matches the Rfam family "tRNA". Rfam says of the family: Transfer RNA (tRNA) molecules are approximately 80 nucleotides in length. Their secondary structure includes four short double-helical elements and three loops (D, anti-codon, and T loops). The record is from RNAcentral. Lineage: Eukaryota; Metazoa; Arthropoda; Insecta; Lepidoptera; Hepialidae.